RNA transcript from Nyctereutes procyonoides (raccoon dog), 2955 nucleotides. It is a transcript of the gene named TELO2 interacting protein 2, with no coding region annotated. The record is from RefSeq and is a predicted model, not a curated record. Lineage: Eukaryota; Metazoa; Chordata; Mammalia; Carnivora; Canidae. The transcript has 8 exons.
UGAGGCGUACGCGGUGCAGGCGGGUCGUGCGGCGCCCGUGGAGGUGUUUGCGUCUCGCCUUAGGGCUUUAUUUCUUAGACCUUUAGGGUUGUUUGGUUUCGCUUUGUUUUUAAUCUUCAGAAAGGCAAGGGUAAGUUAUCCGCCGUUGGGAGUCUGAGGUCCUCUUGCUCCCAGAGAGGCUCCGUUCCCUUUCCUGCAUCCUUUGCUUCGCGCAGACUGGCCUCUUCUGCAGGUGAGACUCGCGACCCCGCGCCCCGCCCUCCGACGUCUGGCCGUCUUCCUGGGUUUUCUAGGUGCUCCUUGGGAGAACUCCAGCCUCCGGGUGAUCUUUGUUGUCGGGCGGGCCGCACCAGCCUCCCAUCUCGGCUCCCGGAGGAGGCCAGCUCGUCGCUGCCGCGGGCUGAGCGAUGGAGCCCGAGAGCCCGCGGGAAGCCCCCUCGCAGGAAGGCUCCUGCUCGCCGGGAGAGCGGCCUCCCUCCGCCCUCGGGCAGUCCUUGUCUCAGAUCGUGCACCGUCUCACCAGCCAGGAGUCCCGACGGGGCAAGGCCAGGAGUGCGGCGCUUGAGGACCUGAGCGCUCUGAUAGAAGCCACAGAGUGUGACCAGCUGUUGGAGGGGGGCGGCGCGUGGCGCCGCGGAAUGCCCGAGGCGCUGGGGCAGGUGGCAAAAGCCCUGGAGAAGUAUGCAGCCCCGCCCGGGGAGCAGGAGGGCCGACGUCGUGCGGACUGCGAAGUGGCCGCCGAGAAAGCGGCCGCGGUUGGGUUACUAUUUCUCGAACUACUGGGGAAAAUGGAGGCGGCCCAGUCUUCGUUGGUUGGCCCUACGUGGAAGGCAGGCCUGCGUCACUUGGCAGCACCCAUCUAUGUUUUCGCGCUCACACACAGUCUGGAGCACCCGUGGACCAGCCCGAGGUCCCGUGAGGUUGCUGGAGAGGUGCUCUCCGUACUCCUUCGGGUUACUCCGUGUGCGUCGGUGGCAGGAUUUCUGCACGGAGAACAUGAGGACGAGAAAGGGAGAUUUACGCUAGUAAUGGAGCUUCUCAAACGCGAUUUGAAUAAGGAAUCCUGGAAGAAUAACCCUGCCACCAAACAUGUUUUUUCAUGGAGUCUACAACAGGUCACCCGACCCUGGCUUAGCCAACAUCUGGAAAUGGUACUUCCCCCGUCACUGCUCAUCUCAGAUGACUAUCAAACCGAGAACAAAAUCCUGGGUGUACGCUGCCUCCAUCACAUUGUGCUUAAUGUGCCAGCUGCUGAUUUGCUCCAGUAUAACAGAGCCCAGGUCGUAUAUCAUGCCCUUUUCAACCACCUGUACACACCAGAGUACAACCUCAUUCAGGCUGUGCUCCUGUGUCUGCUGGAUUUAUUCCCCAUCCUGGAGAAAGCCCUGCAAUGGAAGGGAGGUGCAGGUCGGCCCACCACACACUGUGAUGAGGUGCUGCAGUUGAUUCUGACCCACAUGGAGCCAGAGCACCGCCUUCUCCUACGCAGGACCUAUGCCCGAAACCUCCCGGCGUUUGUGAAGAGGUUGGGGAUUGUAACUGUCCGGCACUUAAAGAGACUGGAGCGAAUCAUCAUUGGUUAUCUGGAGGUUUAUGAUGGACCGGAGGAAGAGGCUAGAUUGAAGAUACUGGAAACCCUAAAACUUCUCAUUCAAUAUGCAUGGCCCAGAGUUCCCUGUAGACUUGUGGUCUUAUUGAAGGCGCUCCUGAAACUGAUAUGUGAUGUAGCAAGGGACCCAAGCCUUACACCUGAGCCUGUAAAGAGCGCCUUACUAGAGGAGGCCACCGAGUGCCUGAUUCUCCUGGACCACUGUUCUCAAGGACAGGUGAAGGAUCUCCUGGUCAAAAUUCUCCAAAGCUGUGAAGACAGCAAGGUGGUGAACUGUAUCCGAAAAGUGCAGCAGGUUUCGGAAGGCACAUCCUACAACGGAACCUAAAACUGGAAGGCUUUUUCUUCUUGUUCCUACUGUGUAAAUGAAAUUAUUUAAGAAAAAAGAAUCUGAAGAGUCACUCUCUGCCUCCUGCUGUUCCAGGGCUUUAUCAAAGGCAUGAAUGGGGAAGUUGUAGAUGUCGCCAUACUGAAGAACACAGAUACACACCAGCUUUAAUGACCUCUCAAUCGUACAUGUGAAAUCCACUGUCCAAUAAGCAUAUUAUUUUUUUCCCCAGUGAUUAAAUGAGAAUACUUGAUUUGAGAAGUAGUAGUAUUUCUGUAUUAAUAUUCAAGCCUAGAGCUGACAAUAUCUUAAAAGCCCAUUUUAAAUAAUCACUGGUUAAAAUCAAACAAGUAGCUUCCAUGAAGAGUCACUUGAAACUUAGUUUAUUAAAACCCAUGGCUUGGAACAAAUGUAAAUUUGCUGACAGAAAGAAGUAAUAAAGUUCUAUUCAUUUUUGUCUUGUAAAUGACAUUAAUUUCUAUCUAUUUUUUUUUUAAAGAUUUUAUUUAUUCAUGAGACACAGAGAGAGGCAGAGAGACACAGGCAGAGGGAGAAGCAGGCUCCAUGUAGGGAAGCCAACAUGGGACUCGAUCCUGGGUCUCCAGGAUCACAACCUGGGCUGAAGGUGGCGCUAAACCGCUGAGCCACCCAGGCUGCCCAACAUUAGUUUUUAAAGUGAAUUAAAAUCCCAUUUUAAAAAGUCUUAGAAGAUUAGGGUGCAAGAGGAUCAAAACUGCAUGCCUUUUGUACAGAGAUCUGGAACUGUUGUACUGGGGACACAAGUUGGCAAUAUGGUGCAAAGGGAAAAGGUCUCUUACACUAAAUGGAGCAUCAAGGGUGACCAGAGCAUUUUAUAGGUUUGUGUCAAUGAACUAAAGUGGGGAAGCCAGAGCCUGUAUAUGUUUUAUUUCAGGAACAAAAAUCAAAGAUCUUUCCAGCACCUUUGAAAAUAAAACACAUUUCCCACUAGUUCCUAGCAUAUUACUGAUCUAAAAAAUAAAGUUUACAUCCCAAAGUU